Molecule: transfer RNA, 73 nt
Filed under: Stegodyphus mimosarum
Lineage: Eukaryota; Metazoa; Arthropoda; Arachnida; Araneae; Eresidae
Rfam family: tRNA
About the family: Transfer RNA (tRNA) molecules are approximately 80 nucleotides in length. Their secondary structure includes four short double-helical elements and three loops (D, anti-codon, and T loops).
Source: Rfam by way of RNAcentral
GCGUUCGUAGUGUAGUGGUCAGCACACUCGGCACGUAAUCAAGAGGCCCGUGGUUCGAAUCCCGGCGAAGGCG